AGUGAACGCUGGCGGUAGGCCUAACACAUGCAAGUCGAACGGCAGCACAGUAAGAGCUUGCUCUUACGGGUGGCGAGUGGCGGACGGGGGAGGAAUACAUCGGAAUCUACUUUUUCGUUGGUGAUAACGUAGGGAAACUUACGAUAAUACCGCAUACGACCUACGAGGGAAAGCAGGGGAACUUCUGACCUUGCGCGGUUGAAUGAGCCGAUGUCGGAUUCGCUCGUUGGCGGGGUAAAGGCCCACCAAGGCGACGAUGCGUAGCUGGUCUGAGAGGACGAUCAGUCACACUUGAACUGAGACACGGUGCAGACUCCUACGUGAGGCAGCAGUGGGGAAUAUUGGACAAUGGGCGCAAGCCUGAUCCAGCCAUACCGCGUGAGUGAAGAAGGGCUUCGGGUUGUAAAGCACUUUUGUUGGGAAAGAAAAGCAGCAGGUUAAUACCCCGCUGUUCUGACGUUACCCAAAGAAUAAGCACCGGCUAACUUCGUG
This 492-nucleotide ribosomal RNA is filed under the name uncultured bacterium. RNAcentral's name for it is "partial 16S ribosomal RNA". It matches the Rfam family "Bacterial small subunit ribosomal RNA", at positions 29 to 507 of the family's 1533-position model. The record is from RNAcentral.